GUCAAGAUGGCCGAGUUGGUCUAAGGUCUAAGGCGCCAGUUUCAGGUACUAGUCCGAAAAGGCAUGGGUUCGAAUCCCAUUCUUGACA
Molecule: non-coding RNA, 88 nt
Organism: Thalictrum thalictroides
Lineage: Eukaryota; Viridiplantae; Streptophyta; Magnoliopsida; Ranunculales; Ranunculaceae
Source: the annotation of a GenBank genome assembly